RNAcentral lists this transfer RNA (72 nucleotides) under Calotes jerdoni. RNAcentral's name for it is "tRNA-Asn". Lineage: Eukaryota; Metazoa; Chordata; Lepidosauria; Squamata; Agamidae. The record is from RNAcentral.
UGGAUUAAUGUCCUCUGGAUUGGGCGUUCAGCUGUUAACUGUUAUUUGCGGGAUCGAGGCCCGCUAGUCCUG